Molecule: ribosomal RNA, 394 nt
Filed under: uncultured bacterium
Lineage: Bacteria
Description: bacterial SSU rRNA
Rfam family: Bacterial small subunit ribosomal RNA
Source: RNAcentral
GACGAACGCUGGCGGCGUGCUUAACACAUGCAAGUCGAACGAUGAAGCCCUUUCGGGGGGUGGAUUAGUGGCGAACGGGUGAGUAACACGUGGGUAACCUGCCCUGUACCCUGGGAUAAGCCUUGGAAACGAGGUCUAAUACCGGAUAUGACCUGCUCUCGCAUGGGGGUGGGUGGAAAGUUUUGGCGGCGCAGGAUGGACCCGCGGCCUAUCAGCUUGUUGGUGGGGUGAUGGCCUACCAAGGCGACGACGGGUAGCCGGCCUGAGAGGGCGACCGGCCACACUGGGACUGAGACACGGCCCAGACUCCUACGGGAGGCAGCAGUGGGGAAUAUUGCACAAUGGGCGAAAAGCCUGAUGCAGCGACGCCGCGUGAGGGAUGACGGCCUCGGUU